UCUCAAGUUUUUUUCAAAACUACAACAUCUUGAAAAAAAUAUUAAGU
Phaseolus vulgaris (common bean) is the source of this 47-nucleotide non-coding RNA. Lineage: Eukaryota; Viridiplantae; Streptophyta; Magnoliopsida; Fabales; Fabaceae. The record is from Rfam.